AUGUUCUUUUUCUAUCUCUGCAUUUUUCGUCUCCCUUACUCUCUCUAUCUCUGUUCUUUCUUCUCUUUUAGAUGUUUUUCCAUUCUCCUUCCUACACAUUUCUCUCUCUCUGUUCUAAUUUCUCUUUUCUCUCUCUUUUCUACCCAAACCCUAACACUGUCGUCACCCCUCUUUCUUCACCAUAUCUAA
Molecule: non-coding RNA, 189 nt
Organism: Vicia faba (fava bean)
Lineage: Eukaryota; Viridiplantae; Streptophyta; Magnoliopsida; Fabales; Fabaceae
Source: the annotation of a GenBank genome assembly